Molecule: non-coding RNA, 8486 nt
Organism: Pelobates cultripes (western spadefoot toad)
Lineage: Eukaryota; Metazoa; Chordata; Amphibia; Anura; Pelobatidae
Source: the annotation of a GenBank genome assembly
GUGUAUGUCGCCAACAGGAUCCAUGUUGUAGAAGCUCAGUAUUUCAGGUGUUCUAUUUUGUAUGGCAGGGGGAUCCCGAACCAUAGACAUAGAAUACCUAGACGCCGCAUUCUGUGCUGAGCGGCGAGGAAUGCGGCAGCCAUCUUGGACCGGUAGCCGCUCUACUGACGCUAUUGAAGAACCCUUAGAAAGCCCAUCUCACAAAAGGUAAGUGAAGGACUUGGGGCACUUAAUACCCCUACCCCAUGUCAUUAAAGGACCACUAUAGGCACCCAGACCACUUCAGCUCAAUGAAGUGGUCUGGGUGCCUGGUCCAUCUAGAAUUAACCCUUUUUUUUGUUUUUCUAUAAACAUAGCAGUUUCAGAGAAACUGUUAUGUUUAUAAUAGGGUUAAUCCAGCCUGUAGUGGCUGUCUCAUUGACAGCCGCUAGAGGCGCUUCCGCGCUUCUCACUGUGAAAAUCACAGUGAGAAGACACCAGCGUCCAUAGGAAAGCAUUAUGAAUGCGACUGGCUGAAUGCGCGCGCAGCUCCUGCCGCGCAUGCGCAUUCAGCCGAAGAGGCGGAGAGGGGGAGGAGAGCUCCCCGCCCGGCGCUGGAGAAAGAGGUAAGUUUAACCUCUUCAACCCCCUAGAGCCCGGCGGGAGGGGGACCCUGAGGGUGGGGGCACCCUCAGGGCACUAUAGUGCCAGGAAAACAAGUAUGUUUUCCUGGCACUAUAGUGGUCCUUUAAUACCCCUACCCCUAUAGUGUUAAUACCCCUACCCCUAGUCUUCAAUACCCCUACCCCUUAAUACCCCUAGUCUUCAAUACCCCUACCCCUAGUCUUCAAUACCCCUAGUCCUACCCCUUAAUAACCCUACCCCUACAGUGUUAAUACCCCUAUCCCAGCACACAUAGUCAUUAAUACCCCUACCCCAGCACACACAGUGUUAAUACCCCUACCCCAGCACACACCCCUACCCCAGUGUUAGUCAUUAAUACCCCUACCCCAGCACACACAGUGUUAAUACCCCUACCCACACAUAGCACCCCUACCCCAGCACACAUAGUGUUAAUACCCCUACCCCAGCACAUCAUUACUACCCCUACCCCAGCACACACACUGUUAAUACCCCUACCCCAGCACACAUAGUGUUAAUACCCCUACCCCAGCCUAUCCCAGCACACAUAGUCAUUAAUACCGCUACCCCAGCACACACAGUGUUCAUACCCAUACCCCAGCACACAGUGUUAAUACCCCUACCCCAGCACACAUAGUGUUAAUAACCCUACCCCAGCCUAUCCCAGCACUCAUAGUCAUUAAUACCCCUACCCCAGCACACACAGUGUUAAUACCCAAUACCCCAGCACACACAGUGUUAAUACCCCUACCCCAGCACACAUAGUGUUAAUACCCCUACCCCAGCACACAUAGUGUUAAUACCCCUACCCCAGCACAUAUAGUCAUUACUACCCCUACCCCAGCACACACAGUGUUCAUACCCCUACCCCAGCACACAUAGUGUUAAUACCCCUACCCCAGCCUAUCCCAGCACUCAUAGUCAUUAAUACCCCAUACCCCAGCACACACAGUGUUAAUACCCCAUACCCCAGCACACAUAGUCAUUAAUACCCCUACCCCAGCACACAGUGUUAAUACCCCUACCCCAGCACAUAUAGUCAUUACUACCCCUACCCCAGCACACAUAGUGUUAAUACAUAGUGUGCUGGGGUAGGGGUAUUAACACUGUGUGUGCUGGGGUAGGGGUAUUAACACUGUGUGUGCUGGGGUAGGGGUAUUAAUGACUAUGAGUGCUGGGAUAGGCUGGGGUAUGGGUAUUAACACUGUAGGGGUAGGGGUAUUAGUGACAUGGGGUAGGGGUAUUAAGGGGUAGGGGUAUUGAAGACUAGGGGUAGGGGUAUUAAGUGUCCCAAGUCCUUCACUUACCUUUUGUGAGAUGGACUUUCUAAGGGUUCUUCAAUAGCUUCAGUAGAGCGGCGACUGGUCCAAAAUGGCUGCCUCAUUCCUCGCCGCUCAGCACAGAAUGCGGCGUCUAGGUAUUCUAUGUCUAUGUCCAGCACGGUUAUUAAACUAUACAGAGAGUUCAUUCUGAGUAAUUCCAUGACAAGUAUUGCUGAGUGCAGUAGAAUGGAUGGCAGCAUUAAGGAUACAGUAUAUGAAACGAUUGUGUGUUUCUCUCUAGUGUUUACAUCUAGAUGUUGCCAACUCUGCUCAUUAUCACGUGAUUUCAUUAUCAUGUGACCUCAUCGACAAACAUUAUUACCGGAAAAGACGUCAAUAGAUUUUCGAAAUAAAGUUGCCAAAAAUGAUAGGGUUAUUGACUAAAGUGAGACAUGAAAGUAAAUUCAAACUGAAUUUUAAAUUGUUGGCCAAAGUUAAAGUAUAGCUGAUAGGGAGAAUGUUUGACUAUUUUACCUGGUCCGUUUAUCGGGGAUAACUUAUGUUUAAAAAAAAAAAAAAGUUCUGGGCAAGUCCCUGUUUGAGUCCUAGCCUAGAGCUGAGGGAGGGGGUUAGUGAGCCCAAACAUUCUUUAACACAUUCAGGACUAUGGCAAUUGCAGAAAUUAAUUUCAGGGAGGUGGCUCCCCCAGCUACGGCACCCCCACCCCACGCGUGCGCGUCAUCCCACUCCCAUGCACAUACAGCCAUCAAACAUGUAUAAACACCUCGACACACAGAUACACACACUGACACACUCAGAUACACACACUGGUGCAUUCACACACUCUGAUACACACAGCGGCACAUACAUUCAGUUACACACUCAGAUAAACACACUAGCACAUAUACACACGUCAUACUUUAUACAUUUGCAGCCACCCUUCUGUUAACUCACCUUUGUGUCCAGGAGGUUGGCUUGCUUGGAGUUCUGGUCCUGGCUGAGGCUGAUGGGAAUAAAAACAGAAAUAAGGGCUGUGCCACAAAGGACCAAUAAAAUAUAGGAAAAUAUGAUGAUAAACCAAAUAUACAGUCUUUAGUUAAAUAAUUGAAAGUGACCAAAAUAUCUUUAAUAAAUAAAUACACAGUAUAAAAAAUCCAUAUCUACUAAGCAACUGAAACAGUAAAAUUAAGAAAAUUGCCUUUUAUUCUUAAUAGAUAAGUCCCUUGCCAUCCUUAUGAAAACAAUAUGGAUUUUUUAUACUGUGUAUUUAUUUAUUAAAGAUAUUUUGGUCACUUUCAAUUGUGCCCUCAUCUUUUAAUACACUUUAUACCUUUUUACCUGGCAUUUGUAUUAUCCUGGACUCCAAGCAAUCCUAGGUGGGGAUCAAACCACCAACGCUAUCACCAAGGAGCAGUUUGCCUGCUCCACACUUGUGAGUACCAUUUUAUAUAUUUUAUCACUAGUUUUAUUCAGAGAGCACUAUUAGUUGUCUCUUUUUAGUCUCUUUGAGUGACGAACAUACUCUAAAGGAAGAAGCCUGCACUAUAUCCUACAAGUGGGGAUUGUACCGCUGUAAGCCUUCUACACUAGAGCUAGUUAUCGCUCUUAUACGUGUGAGUGCAAUAUCAUCUUCUUUUACUACUUAUUGUAUUUUAUUGGAUAUACCACACCAUCUGGUCCUUUCUUUUGUGUUUUAUUGUUUCAUAUUUGGAUCCACUAGAGGAAGGCCUACUGAGGACAGUGUUCCUGAAAAAGCACUUUACAGACCUUUAUUUAAAAAGAUUAUUUAACUAAAGACUGUAUAUUUGGUUUAUCAUCAAAUUUUCCUAUAUUUUAUUGGUCCUUUGUGAAGCAACCCUUAUUUCUGUUUUUAUUCUAAGAGUUUUUGAGGGAUUCCCUUAUAGGGUUGCUGCCUUUUUCUUGUUUUUAAGCGCUUGCUCUCUCUUUUGAUUUUUAUGAGGCUGAUGGGAACCUCUUCUCUGUCCUAAUGCUACUGUGUGUGCUAGCCUCCACCCUCCAUUCCUCAUGUGAGGCACCCAGCAGGGAGGCUGAUAUUCAGGGGCUUGGUCAGCUCUUAAAAGGGAUGCAGCACAUAACUGGGCCACUGUUUAGGGAGUAUUAUAAGGGAGAGGGGCGAGAUCAUAUAUAAUAUAAUGGAAGUCACACACAUUGUAUGUCAGAUUGUGUAUGUGAUUUCCGGGAUAUUGUAUAUGAUUAGCUGGUGUCAGGGAGCCGCAUUCAAAAUGCGGGAGUCUCCCAGAACCUUAUCAACAAACAUUAUUACCGGAAAAGACGUCAAUAGAUUUUCUAAAUAAAGUUGCCAAAAAUGAUAGGGUUAUUGACUAAAGUGAGACGUGAAAGUAAAUUCAAACUGAAUUUUAAAUUGUUGGCCAAAGUUAAAGUAUAAGGAGACUUGAAACAUCCGCAAUUGUGUGAUACUUUAGGAAAACUUCAUUUGGAACUCAACCACAGAUGAAUGAAAAUUUUUUUAUACUGUCACUCAAAUUUAUUGAAAUGAAUUAAAUUAACUUUGGCAAUUUUCUGCAGCAAUAAGAAUUGGAAAUAAUAAUGUAGAAGCAAUGGCAAUCUUUCUUUGUUUCCAAGAAAAUAGCAUUUAGCAGUAAUAAAUAAACAAGGUACCGCAUAUACUCGAGUACAAGUCUACCCGAAUAUAAGUCGAGACCCCUAAUUUUACCCCCAAAAAAUGGGAAAACUUAUUGACUCAAGUAUAAGACUAGGGUGGGAAAUGCAGCAGCUAGUGGUAAAUUUCUAAAUAAAAUUAGAUCCCCCAAAAAUUACAUUAAUUGAAUAUUUAUUUUGUGUAUAUAAUGAAUGCAGUGUGUGUGUGUGUGUGUAUGUAUGAAUGCAGUGUGUGUGUAUAUGAUGCAGAGUGUGUAACCUUGGUGGGGGGGGCAUUUUUAUUAUUACUUUUAUUUAUUUUCGUCCCCCCUCCCUGCUUGUUAGCUGGCCAGGGAGGGGGGCUCUCAUUCCCUGGUGGCAUUGGCUGUGUAGGAGGGGGGCUGACAGAGAGCUGUUACCUUCCUGCAGCUCCUGUCAGCUCCCUUCUCUCUCCUCCGUUCCGGUCAGCUCCCUUCUCCUCCAGUGUAAGUCUUGCAGUGUGACUGCCGCGCGGAGCGUUGCCACGGUAACCCGUGGCAACGCUCUUACCCCGGUAACCCGUGGCAACGCUCUUACCCCGCGGCUCUCGCGAGACUUACACUGGAGGAAAAGGGAGCUGACAGGAGAUGCAGGAAGGUAAGUAACAGCUCUCUGUCAGCCCCCAACAGGACCGCUGGGCUUAUAAUGAGCCCGGCGGUCCUUGUCUGUAUUAUGGCAAUGUAAGUUGCCAUAAUACAGACACUCACUCGAGUAUAAGACGAGUGGCGGUUUUUCAGCACAAACAACUUGUCUUAUACUCGAGUAUAUAUGGACUCCUUAAUUAGGAAAUUGUAACAGUCCAUUUGACAUCAAAAUAAGGAAUAGGAGAAACCGGUAAUUCCUGUUUUAGGCAAAUUACACAGUCUCCUAAAUUGCAAUAGUAAAUGAUGAAAUAAAUCAAAUAGAUCCUGUUUGGAAAAUAAUCACAGUCCUUAGAAUCCAAAUAGUAAGUAAAAUAAAUUAGGAAUGAGAAAUCAGUAGUAAUGGUUACGUCCAAUAAAGCAAUUUAGAAGUAACUAAAUCACAGAGAGCAGACAAGUGUAUUCGGGCAUUCGGUGUCUCGUGUACCUGGACGAUUUGCUAAUCUUCUGCGAAUCCGCCUCCAGGCUGAGAUCACAGACGAAAUUUGUUGUUCACUUACUGGAAGCCUUAGGUUUCAUGGUGAACAGACAAAAAUCGUGGCUCUCCCCCGCUCAGUCAAUCCAAUUCCUCUGGUUCGAUAUCGACUCGAAGGAAUGCGUACUUCGGUUACCCCAAACGAAGAUAACCUCGAUACGGAAGGAAAUCAGACAGGUACUGAAAAGGGAUACCAUAACACUCAGGAUGCUCGCCCGGAUCGUGGGGCUCCUCUCCUCCUCCAUACAGGCGAUAUUCCCGGGCCCAUUGCACUACAGAGCCAUGCAACGGCUGAAGGCGGGAUACCUACGCACCGGACAAUCAUACGACAGCUGGAUCCCACUGUUGUCGGAGGUGAGGACAGAACUGCGAUGGUGGUUACUGCACAUUCAAGCGUGGAAUGGCAAGGCGAUCUUCGGCGCCUCCCCAGACUUCAUCGUGGAGUCAGACGCCAGCUUAUGGGGAUGGGGCGCACACUGCACGGACGCCUCCACGGGAGGCCCGUGGCGGGGGGAAGAGACCGAACUCCAUAUCAACUGCCUGGAACUGAUCGCGGGAUCCUUCGCAAUACGCAGUCUGGCCAAGGACAAAUCGAACUGCUGCAUCCUACUCCGCAUGGACAACGUGUCGGCGGUGCAGUACAUCAACCGCCUGGGCGGGGCCAGGUCUCAAGCCCUGACAGAAGCCACGAAAGACAUCUACAAGUUCUGCUUGCACGGAACAUCACGCUACAGGCGGAAUAUCUACCGGGAAUCUCCAACCUGACAGCGGACUGGUUCUCACGUCACUGGCGGGACACCAGCGACUGGACGCUCAACAGAGGGAUAUUCCAAGAACUGCAAAGGUGGAAGAACCCACUCACAAUAGAUUUAUUCGCCUCCAGGACCAACCACCAACUACCGAGGUACUACAGCUGGCUCCCGGACCCGGAGAGUGAGGCGACGGACGCAUUCCUACAGGACUGGCCCACCCAAGGGGCAUAUGCAUUCCCACCGUUCUCCAUGAUUCCACGGGUGUUACGAUAUGCACGCAACCACAGGAUAACGCUCCUACUCAUUACACCCCUUUGGCAGAGCCAACCGUGGUUUCCCGACCUCCUGGAGAUGUCGUACGAGACCCCACUUCUGCUUCCCACCUUCCCUCAAAUCCUGUUUGGACCUAGGGGGGAGACCCACCCCCUCAUCCUGGAAGGACAGCUGGAAAUAGUAGCCUGGACGGUUUCAGGGGCUCCUGGUCAGUCCACGGCCUAUCGCAAUCAGCUAAGGACCUCCUCUGGGAUUCAUGGGCUCCUGGUACCAGGAAAUGCUAUAUUUCCGCAUGGUCGGCCUGGAACGAUUGGUGUGUGGAAAGGGAUUCCAAUCCCUUUACAGCACCUAUCCCACUGAUCCUUAAUUACCUAUCACACCUGUUCAUGUCGGGACGAUCAUAUAGAUCCCUCAAUGUGAUCAGAUCCGCCAUAUCGGCGGCUCACGUCCCGAUCCAGGGCAAGCCGAUAGGCCAAGACCCUCUAAUUUGUCGGCUACUGCGGGGUGCCAAAUUAACGAGGCCCCCAGCGCCCAAAUAUUCACGCCUCUGGCAGGUGGAGGUGGUAUUGAAAUUCCUUAGGGAAUGGCCGGACAACCUCUAUCUGUCGCUGAAACAACUCUCCGCGAAGCUAGCUCUCUUAUUGUGCCUAGUUUCCUUUAGACGUGUAGCAGAUAUCAGAGCGUUCGAUGUGGACGGUUUCUCCCUCACACCAGAAGGGGUUACCUUCAACAUAUCGAGACGCACGAAAACAGACUCAGCGUCAGUGUCUUAUCCAUAUUUUGGAUCAGACCCCAAAUUGUGUGUAGUGAGAGCACUGAUGAGGUAUACCGAGGUCACGAAUUCCCUGCGAACCCGUCCGACGGGUCAGCUCCUGAUUUCAUUUGUGAAACCUCACGGACCAGUGUCCACUACUACACUGGCCAGAUGGAUCCGCUGGCUACUAGCUUUAGCAGGCGUUGAACCUUGCUUCGGAGCGCACUCGGUCAGAGGGGCGGCGGCUUCCCAAGCCUUAUCGGCCGGCGCCUCACUGGCCGACAUUAUGCGCAGCGCAGAUUGGUCGCGAGAGAGUACCUUUAGGACGUUUUACUUUCGACAAACCUCUCAUGCUUCCUUCACGUUAGUCAACUCGAAGCUUUAAAAAUGCAAAUAUGAAGCCUCCUGUCAUGUGGUAAAAUUUAAGAUUAUACUAGCUUUAGUGUACUAAUAAUCUUAAUUUUAGUAAUGACAGGAGGCGAAUAUUUCCCACCCUAUAGGAUCCCUCCCGUAGAUUAUUUGUGUGGAUAUUUAUGUUUUACGUUCAGGAAGACACAUAUUUACCGGGUUAGACUUUCAGACUUAGAUUCUUUCACAGUACGUUUUAUGAGUAUGAGAAUGGUUGUACCGGUUACAGAGUGUAUACCUAUGUCGUUUAGGGUCAGUAAACUUUAGCUUAGAGAAGGAAUUUUUUGAGCUUCAGACAGGGAUGAUGAAAUCAGAUUCCUAAAUGAACUGCAUGCGGACAAAUUUUCAUGCCAGAGACCUUUCACCUUUUUCUUUUUCUUGCAGUAUGAAAAGCCUCAAUACAAGACUAAGAAUCUAUCUUACUACACCUGCAACACGGAAGUUCUGAAGUUGGUCAUGUUCCUAGACUGUUGAUCUGUUGGACGUUUCUUUAUGGUUAUAUAUAUUUACGAUUUUUUAUCAUUUCGCUUCAAAGAAAGAGGAAGUGAUGUCAUAGACAGGGCCUUUUAUGGGCAUUAUAUCUUUUUCUGAUUGGUUGUUUAUGUUACUAUGCUGCUGGAGUUUUGAGUAAAGAAAGAUAUG